Non-coding RNA from Podarcis muralis (Common wall lizard), 3227 nucleotides. Lineage: Eukaryota; Metazoa; Chordata; Lepidosauria; Squamata; Lacertidae. The record is from RefSeq and is a predicted model, not a curated record.
UUCUCCAGAAGGGUGGGGAUGGAGAGACAACCUGCUGUUGUCCUUGGAAGCAUUCCAGCCUGGUGACUGUGUGCUUGAGGGAAGCGGAAAUAAGAAGGCCGAUGGAGCAAGGGAGACAGGAGGAUAUACAAUACAGGCAGAGUGUUGCCAGGUUGCGCUCAAGAUGCUCUCGCUGCCGUGUGUACUCUUGAUGCAAGUCUGUGUCAACGCCAACAAUUUCCACCUGAUGGAGCAAAUGAAAUAUCCCGGAUGCUCUCCUUCAGUUUCUUGGGUUCCUGGAUGAGGCCUACACAGUUGUGAAGAUCUGUUUUAAAUCGCUUGACAAGUGCUUCCAUGUCUCGUUCCUGCAGUCAGAGGAACACCAAAGCUUGAUACAGCAGAAUACAUUGCCUGUUGGUGAGGCUUCCUUGCUCUGGCUCAAAUUACAUCUCACAAAUUGUCUGUGGUACAAAUACUGGCCAGAGGGUACCCAACCUAUCGGGACCCCGUUAAACAUUUCAAAUCCCACAGUACUUCUUCAUCACUUGAAUUUCCAGCUCUACAUAGCUUGCUAACCGACAGCUGACUGUAUAAGUUGUCUUCAGGAAAAAGCAGAGCAUUCAGUUUUAGGAGAUACAAAAUAAUGUGAAAGCCUGAAAUGAAAUUGUUGUUUUACAUAUGCAAGUCAUCAAGUCAUGGACAGGCUUGUGCAAAGUCACCUAUUAAAUUAUUAUAUUAGAGCAGCCCCAACACAUUUGUCAUUACCUUUGCUUUGAUGUGAAAUUUAAACACUAGAUUCAGUGGAAGAAAAUUUCAAUUACCAUUACAGAAUCAUAAAGAUGGAAGGAAACUUUAGAGCUCAUCUUAGUCUGUAUAUGACACCCUAAAGAAGGACCAGUUAUAAUUUGGUGUACCACUUUUUUCAGCUGCCAUUUGACACACCUUUUGCAUCUCUUUGUGCAUCUCCCGGUCUGUGGCUUUCAGUUUUAGCCGUAGCUCUGAUAUGUUCAGUUCCAGUUGUGUGUUCUGCUUGUGGAAACGUUCCAGCUCUCCUUCCAUCUGCACAGAUGCAUGAGACGAGAAGAGGUUUUAAAGGAGGCCUGUGGCCUGCUAUGGUUUUCAAGCUGGCCCAGCUUCAGGGCUGGGAGUGGGCUGCCUAAACUGCUUCUCACCUCCUGGAUCUGCUCCUUCAUAGCUUUGAUAUCAUUCUCACGCGGCUCUAUUUGCUUCUUCAACUCCUUUAUUUUAUAAUCUAGUACAAAUUUGAACUUCUCCAGUUCCUGGUUUUUUUUCUUUAGAUCGUAAAUUCGCUUCUCCUGGGACAAAUAAAAUAGAGACAUGAGGUGAGUGGGGAUCUCUUACAACUUCAGCCCUACAUCAGUGGAGUCAAGAGACAAUGUGUGGGAAGGUGGCAUAUGAGGAGGAAAAAGGAAAAGUGCCAGAAAUAUCAGAGAAGGGAUAAUGAAUUCUAAGAAUUCAGAGCCUUUGUAGAUUUGGACAGCAAAAUCCAGCUGGGGGUAGAGGGGUGGGAAAGGAGCAUAGAUCCAAGCACCUCACCUUGUCUUGAAUGGUCUCAUCUCUUUCUUGAAUCUCUCUCUUCAGCCCCUGGAUGUCCUUCUCUAAGGCUUUAAUGAUUCCUUGCAACUUUUGCUGCUCCACCUUCAUUGCCUCAAUGUCACUGCAGCGCUCUUCAAUCUCUUUCUGCAGACUGUUGAACUAGAGAAAAAAGCAUAAGGUAUCUUUCAGUCUGAAGCCAGUGUCUCACCCAGCAACAGCUCCAUGAGAACUGCUGACAAGAAUCAGUGAAAGCUACAUGGUGGGCAUCUCCAUAUCCCUGCACAGCUGAUGCCUUCAGGAAGCAGAGUUGAUCAUGGCCCAUCAACUGAUGGACAGUGAGUUCAAACCUGCAGGAUUGGCUGUGCAACCAAAUCUAAUGGGAAACUCGGUCAAACAGCUGAUCCUUGCAGAAAGGAGCUUUGCCAACCCUAUACUGGGUGCUUGGAAAAUGCUGAGCAUGCCAAGCACUUUACACAGAACUUCCCAAACACCUAAUAGGCAGCUGGAUAUUGGGAAGCACUGCAUAAGGGAGUUGGACAGGUGGGUGGGAUGACCCACCUGUCAAUCAUCUGACAAUUAAAGAAAAACAAGCAUGCAAGGGCCAUUUGUACAAUUAACAUAACAUUUAAUUUGGCCCUUUGCUAGCAUUCCAGCCUUUAGAUAAAACCUUGCAUUUUAGGAAAUAAUUUUACAUUAGAUGUAAAACAGAUUUUUGUUGACAUUUCUGUGACACUGUUUCAAUAGACAGUUGGGUAUUAAAAUUUGUGUUGCUUUUUAUAAUUUUAAUCUACUCUUAUUAUCUAUUUUAUUGUCAUUUUGUUAGCAGAGAAAGUGGUAUAUACAUCUUGAAAUAAAUGAUCACAAACCAGAAAUCUGAUAGCCUGAAACAGAUAAAUAUGCAGCCAUCCUCUGCAGAUGUUAGUAGGAACUGAUCAUCAGCUGUUAUGGACAUCUGUGGAGAAAAAAAAGGCAUACGGAACUCCAAUAAAACACAAUUGGAGAGUCAGAGAAAAGAAAGGGCAGUUGGCAGAAUCAGAAGAAGAUGCUCCGGGUGGAUUAAUAAGGAUCAAUUAUUUUAAAAAUAUAUCCAUCUCUUUGCCUCUAGUGAUAUCUCUUCUUCUCCACUUUCCCCAUUUUGCUCCAAGCAUUCCCCUUGCCAUUUGUCAGGCUACUGUCCAUUCCUCAGAAUCCAUUUAAUUAACAACUUGUCCUUGUUUUCAGUGGCUUUUCCAUUCGCUCUCAUUAUCAAUCUCAGUCUUAUCUUUUUAAUGAGGCACAGUAGCAGACUGAUUUUAAACAUGACACCAAGAAGCACAGUCACCCUCACGCCCUUGCUCUCAACAUUACUGGAACCUAUGGUGAAAGCAUAAGUGAUAAACAAGCCUUCUGGAUGAAAUAACAUUUUAAAAAUAGUACUGUACAGCAACAAUGCUGUAAAUGUUGCACUCCAGUGUCUGAGAAGCUAGCAACCCAGAGAGAUUUCCCCUACACUCUCCCAGCUACAUACACUCAGCUUGGAAGACUCCGAGAAUGAGGCUGAUGGGUGUACUGUUUAGGUAGAACUCAUUCUCAUUACUUUCCUCAUUACUGUGAUUAGAGACUCUGUUGUCUAUUGUCAUUCUUAUUAAGCUACUUUGAUACACAAUAAAUAUAUCAUAUUUAGAUAUGCCCAUUUGUGGCUCAUUGCGUGA